RNAcentral lists this ribosomal RNA (450 nucleotides) under uncultured bacterium. RNAcentral describes it as "partial 16S ribosomal RNA". It matches the Rfam family "Bacterial small subunit ribosomal RNA", at positions 338 to 795 of the family's 1533-position model. The record is from RNAcentral.
CCUACGGGGGGCUGCAGUAAGGAAUAUUGGUCAAUGGACGCAAGUCUGAACCAGCCAUGCCGCGUGGAGGAUGAAGGUCCUCUGGAUUGUAAACUUCUUUUAUCUGGGACGAAACACUUCUUUUCUAAGAGGCCUGACGGUACCAGAUGAAUAAGCACCGGCUAACUCCGUGCCAGCAGCCGCGGUAAUACGGAGGGUGCAGGCGUUAUCCGGAUUCACUGGUGUGAAGGGGUGCGUAGGUGGGUAUGUAGAAAUCCCCGAGCUUAACUUGGGAACUGCCUUUGAUACUAUAUAUCUUGAAUACCGUAGAGGUAAGCGGAAUAUGUCAUGUAGCGGUGAAAUGCUUAGAUAUGACAUGGAACACCAAUUGCGAAGGCAGCUUACUAUGCGGUUAUUGACACUGAGGCACGAAAGCGUGGGUAGCAAACAGGAUUAGAUACCCCGGUAGUC